This 1318-nucleotide non-coding RNA is filed under the name Desulfofustis glycolicus DSM 9705. RNAcentral describes it as "Bacterial large subunit ribosomal RNA". It matches the Rfam family "Bacterial large subunit ribosomal RNA", at positions 1 to 1233 of the family's 2925-position model. The record is from Rfam by way of RNAcentral. Lineage: Bacteria; Pseudomonadati; Thermodesulfobacteriota; Desulfobulbia; Desulfobulbales; Desulfocapsaceae.
GGAUAAGCUACAAAGAGCUAACGGUGGAUGCCUUGGCAUCGGGAGGCGAAGAAGGACGCGGUAAGCUGCGAUAAGCUUCGGGGAGCGGUUAACACGCUUUGAUCCGGAGGUUUCCGAAUGGGGCAACCCGGCAGGAGUCAUAUCCUGUCAUCUGUUUCUCAAUACAUAGGAAACAGAGGCGAACGCAGGGAACUGAAACAUCUAAGUACCUGCAGGAGUAGAAAUCAAUUGAGAUUCCGUCAGUAGCGGCGAGCGAACGCGGAUUAGCCCAAACCAGGCUUCGGCCUGGGGUUGUAGGACCCCAACGUGGGAUGCAUGCACGAUAGUGGAACGGCAUGGAAAGGCCGACCGUAGACGGUGAUAGUCCGGUACGCGAAAUGGUGCUGCACCCUAGGGAGUUCCUGAGUACCACGGGACACGUGAAACCCUGUGGGAAUCUGGGAGGACCAUCUUCCAAGGCUAAAUACUACCCGAUGACCGAUAGUGAACGAGUACCGUGAGGGAAAGGUGAAAAGAACCCCGGGAGGGGAGUGAAAUAGAAACUGAAACCGUUAGUUUACAAGCAGUGGAAGCACUAUGUCGCAAGACAGUGCAACCGCGUGCCUUUUGCAUAAUGAGUCAACGAGUUACCGUAUGCAGCGAGGUUAAGCCGCGAGGUGGAGCCGGAGCGAAAGCGAGUCUUAAGAGGGCGAUCAGUUGCAUGCGGUAGACCCGAAACCGGGUGAUCUAGCCAUGUCCAGGGUGAAGUCUCGGUAACACGAGAUGGAGGCCCGAACCAGUGUAGGUUGAAAACUGCUUGGAUGAGGUGUGGCUAGGAGUGAAAGGCUAAUCAAACUCGGUAAUAGCUGGUUUUCUCCGAAAUAUAUUUAGGUAUAGCCUCACAUGAUGACCGACGGAGGUAGAGCACUGACAAGGCUAGGGGUCCCACCGGAUUACCAACCCUUAUCAAACUCCGAAUGCCGUCGAGCUUUAGUGUGGGAGUCAGACUGCGGGAGAUAAGUUCCGUAGUCGAGAGGGAAACAGCCCAGACCGUCAGCUAAGGUCCCUAAAUCUAUGCUCAGUGGGAAAGGAGGUGGAACUGUCCAGACAACCAGGAGGUUGGCUUAGAAGCAGCAACCCUUUAAAGAAAGCGUAAUAGCUCACUGGUCUAAUGGAUCUGCGCCGAAAAUUCAACGGGGCUAAGCAUAGUACCGAAGCUACGGAUCCAGAAAGCUGAUUUAAGCGUAUUAGCAAACAGGGAAAGAAGUUCGCGAGCGGAUAGAUUGUUAUCCCCUGCCCGCCUACAGCUUAUCAUGCAGAUAAGUUAAAAAUCGUAGGC